RNAcentral lists this ribosomal RNA (772 nucleotides) under uncultured Neocallimastigales. Its description in RNAcentral is "partial large subunit ribosomal RNA". It matches the Rfam family "Eukaryotic large subunit ribosomal RNA", at positions 24 to 635 of the family's 3401-position model. Lineage: Eukaryota; Fungi; Neocallimastigomycota; Neocallimastigomycetes; Neocallimastigales. The record is from RNAcentral.
AUCUCUGUAGAGUCUGCAUAUCAAUAAGCGGAGGAAAAGAAACUAACAAGGAUUCCCUUAGUAACGGCGAGUGAAGCGGGAAGAGCUCAAAUUUGAAAUCUUCAAGGUUUUACCUUGACGAAUUGUAGUUUAAAGAAGUGUUUUCUGUUGAAGUUUCGGUAAAAGUUCUUUGGAAUAGGACAUCAUAGAGGGUGAGAAUCCCGUAUUUGACCGUUAUUUUCAGCUGUGUGAUACACUUUCAAAGAGUCGGAUUGUUUGGGAAUGCAGUCCAAAAUGGGUGGUAAAUUUCAUCUAAAGCUAAAUAUUGGCGAGAGACCGAUAGCGAACAAGUACCGUGAGGGAAAGAUGAAAAGAACUUUGAAAAGAGAGUUAAACAGUACGUGAAAUUGUCAAAAGGGAAGCGUUUGACACCAGUGUUGUUUCUCGAAAAUCAAUUAAAAAUGGCUUGAUUUUGUGUUGUAUUGACCUUAAAAGCUUUCUUCACUUUUUUCAUGUCUUUUUUAAUGCACUUUUCGUUUAACAAGUCAACAUCAGUUUCUUUUGUUGUAAAAAGGUCAUUGGAAGGUGGCUUUCUUUUCGGAGAAAGUGUUUAUAGCCUUUGACUUCUGCAAUCGGAGAGACUGAGGUCUGCAGCGUAGAUCCUUCUGGAUUAGAUUCAUUUGUGCUAAGUUACAACCGUUUAUAGACAACUUGUUGACUAUAUUCUAUCCUGUAGCUUACUCGCUUAUGUAAUUUUACCUACGCUUAGGAUGUUGAAGAUGUAGCACAUCAU